RNAcentral lists this ribosomal RNA (122 nucleotides) under Polygonatum odoratum. RNAcentral's name for it is "partial 26S ribosomal RNA". It matches the Rfam family "Eukaryotic large subunit ribosomal RNA", at positions 1 to 123 of the family's 3401-position model. The record is from RNAcentral. Lineage: Eukaryota; Viridiplantae; Streptophyta; Magnoliopsida; Asparagales; Asparagaceae.
GACCUCAGGUCAGGUGAGGCCACCCGCUGAGUUUAAGCAUAUCAAUAAGCGGAGGAGAAGAAACUUACAAGGAUUCCCUUAGUAACGGCGAGCGAACCGGGAUGUGCCCAGCUUGAGAAUCG